Molecule: long non-coding RNA, 1557 nt
Filed under: Zonotrichia albicollis (white-throated sparrow)
Lineage: Eukaryota; Metazoa; Chordata; Aves; Passeriformes; Passerellidae
Description: lncRNA (ENSZALG00000000557.1)
Source: RNAcentral
UAUGGGAAUGUUUCACCCCAAAAUUGUUAUGGGAAUGUUUCGACCCAAAAGUGUUAUGGAAAUGUUUCAUCCCAAAAUUGUUAUGGGAAUGUUUCACCCCAAAAAUGUUAUGGAAAUGUUUCACCCCAAAAUUGUUAUGGGAAUGUUUCACCCCAAAAGUGUUAUGGGAAUGUUUCAUCCCAAAAUUGUUAUGGAAAUGUUUCGACCCAAAAUUGUUAUGGGAAUGUUUUACCCCAAAAUUGUUAUGGGAAUGUUUCACCCCAAAAUUGUUAUGGAAAUGUUUCACCCCAAAAUUGUUAUGGGAAAGUUUCAGCCCAAAAUUGUUAUGGGAAUGUUUCACCCAAAAAUUGUUAUGGGAAUGUUUCAGCCCAAAAGUGUUAUGGGAAUGUUUCACCCCAAAAAUUGUUAUGGAAAUGUUUCACCCCAAAAAUUGUUAUGGAAAUAUUUCGACCCCAAAAUUGUUAUGGGAAUGUUUCACCCCAAAAUUGUUAUGGGAAUGUUUCACCCCAAAAGUGUUAUGGGAAUGUUUCACCCCAAAAUUGUUAUGGGAAUGUUUCACCCCAAAAUUGUUAUGGAGAAGCAGCAGAAAGACAAUAAACCUUGUUGGAUUUGGGAAUAUCAGGGAAGGGAUUUGGAGGGAAAUGAUUUGGAGCUGGAUCCAGUGAGGGCUGGGGGAAGGUGCUGGGAGUCUUGUAAGGCUUUACAAGAAUUACACUGGAAUUACAUUGGAAAGAUUUACAAGGAAUUCCACUGGAAUUACAUUGGAAAGACACUGGGGAUCUGUCCAUCUGUGUGCCUCAAUCCAGGUUGGAUUUGCCUCUCCCAAUUCCAAAUUCCGGCCCAAAAAUUGUUGUGGGAAUGUUUCGACCCCAAAAAUUGUUAUGGGAAUGUUUCAUCCCAAAAUUGUUAUGGGAAUGUUUCACCCUAAAAGUGUUAUGGAAAUGUUUCGACCCCAAAAAUUGUUAUGGGAAUGUUUCACCCCAAAAUUGUUAUGGGAAUGUUUCACCCCAAAAGUGUUAGGGGAAUGUUUCGAGCCCAAAAGUGUUAUGGGAAUGUUUCGACCCAAAAUUGUUAUGGAAAUGUUUCACCCCAAAAUUGUUAUGGGAAUGUUUUACCCCAAAAAUUGUUAUGGAAAUGUUUCGACCCCAAAAUUGUUAUGGGAAUGUUUUACCCCAAAAAUUGUUAUGGGAAUGCUUCGACCCAAAAAUUGUUAUGGGAAUAUUUUACUCCAAAAUUGUUAUGGGAAUGUUUCACCCAAAAAUUGUUAUGGAGAUGUUUUGACCCAAAAAUUGUUAUGGGAAUGUUUCGACCCAAAAUUGUUAUGGGAAUGUUUCACCCCAAAAAUUGUUAUGGAAAUGUUCCACCCCAAAAGUGUUAUGGAAAUGUUUCGACCCAAAAUUGUUAUGGGAAUUUUUCACCCCAAAAUUGUUAUGGAGAAGCAGCAGAAACCUUAUUGGAUUUGGGAAUAUCAGGGAAGGGAUUUGGAGGGAAAUGAUUUGGAGCUGGACCCAGUGAGGGAUGGGAGAAGGUGCUGGGAGUCUUGUAAGGCUUUACAAG